AACGUAGGUUCCGAGCGUUAUCCGGAUUUACUGGGCGUAAAGCGCGUUCAGGCGGUUCGGCAAGUCGGACGUGAAAUCCCUCAGCUUAACUGGGGAACUGCGUCCGAUACUGGAUGGCUUGAGUUUGGGAGAGGGAUGCGGAAUUCCAGGUGUAGCGGUGAAAUGCGUAGAUAUCUGGAGGAACACCGGUGGCGAAGGCGGCAUCCUGGACCAACACUGACACUGAGGAGCGAAAGCCAGGGGAGCAAACGGG
This 253-nucleotide ribosomal RNA is filed under the name uncultured bacterium. RNAcentral's name for it is "partial 16S ribosomal RNA". It matches the Rfam family "Bacterial small subunit ribosomal RNA", at positions 524 to 776 of the family's 1533-position model. The record is from RNAcentral.